GACGGAGGGUGCAAGCGUUGUUCGGAUUGACUGGGCGUAAAGGGCGUGUAGGCGGUCGGCCAAGUCUGAUGUGAAAGCCCGAGGCUCAGCCUCGGAAGUGCGUCGGAAACUAGUCGGCUGGAGCGCGAUAGAGGAGGGUGGAAUUCCUGGUGUAGCGGUGAAAUGCGCAGAUAUCAGGAAGAACACCCGUGGCGAAGGCGGCUUUCUGGGACGGUACUGACGCUGAGACGCGAAAGCGUGGGGAGCGAACAGG
Molecule: ribosomal RNA, 253 nt
Filed under: uncultured bacterium
Lineage: Bacteria
Description: partial 16S ribosomal RNA
Rfam family: Bacterial small subunit ribosomal RNA
Source: RNAcentral